AGGGAAAGGACUAAUGUUGCGUGCUGUGUUUCCUUGAUUACAGAGCCAGUGAGCUUUCCCCCCCCACACCUCUCUUUGAAGCACCAGGGACUGGCCCCUGUUGAAUGUGGGGCUCUGGCAGGAGGGAUUUGUGCUCCCAGGUAGUACAGAGACCUCUUAGAUGCUCGACUGAUCAGAGGCUCACAAAAGGGAAGUACGGGAAUUCUUGAGAAAUGGCUCAUCUUCCAAGGUAACACAGAGCUGUAUACAGCAUAAUAACGUGGUUCUCUAACCGGAGGGAAGCUGUAGCAGCAGUCUCUCCACUUGCCGGUGCAGUCAGAUCGGCACUGGUCAUGGGGCAGAAAGCUGCUUCGGCUGCUCUGCUGACACUGAGCUCCUUCAGCACAGCCUGCAAACUCCUCCUGCGUUUCGAACAGGUCCCUGCCAGGAGCCUCAUGCUGGUGCUGGCUCUGCUCAUACACAGAAUAUUGGGAUGGGACAUUCAGUGCUUCCUCUUGAAGCUCAUCUGA
This 509-nucleotide long non-coding RNA is filed under the name Aquila chrysaetos chrysaetos. RNAcentral describes it as "lncRNA (ENSACCG00020005854.1)". The record is from RNAcentral. Lineage: Eukaryota; Metazoa; Chordata; Aves; Accipitriformes; Accipitridae.